UACGGGGGGGGCAAGCGUUGUUCGGAAUUACUGGGCGUAAAGGGUUCGUAGGUGGCCCGCUAAGUCAGACGUGAAAUCCCUCAGCUCAACUGGGGAACUGCGUCUGAGACUGGCGGGCUUGAGUGCAGGAGAGGAACGCGGAAUUCCAGGUGUAGCGGUGAAAUGCGUAGAUAUCUGGAGGAACACCGGUGGCGAAGGCGGCGUUCUGGACUGUUACUGACACUGAGGAACGAAAGCCAGGGGAGCAAACGGG
RNAcentral lists this ribosomal RNA (253 nucleotides) under uncultured bacterium. RNAcentral's name for it is "partial 16S ribosomal RNA". It matches the Rfam family "Bacterial small subunit ribosomal RNA", at positions 524 to 776 of the family's 1533-position model. The record is from RNAcentral.